Molecule: ribosomal RNA, 305 nt
Filed under: uncultured bacterium
Lineage: Bacteria
Description: bacterial SSU rRNA
Rfam family: Bacterial small subunit ribosomal RNA
Source: RNAcentral
CCUACGGGGGGCAGCAGCCGCGGUAAUACGUAGGUGGCAAGCGUUGUCCGGAUUUACUGGGUGUAAAGGGCGUGUAGCCGGGCUGACAAGUCAGAUGUGAAAUCCGGGGGCUCAACCCCCGAACUGCAUUUGAAACUGUUGGUCUUGAGUAUCGGAGAGGCAGGCGGAAUUCCUAGUGUAGCGGUGAAAUGCGUAGAUAUUAGGAGGAACACCAGUGGCGAAGGCGGCCUGCUGGACGACAACUGACGGUGAGGCGCGAAAGCGUGGGGAGCAAACAGGAUUAGAAACCCUUGUAGUCCCCCUAG